UUGAGUCACUUUAAACGUAAUUCUAUCAAUUAUCCGUAGCACGCGUACGCGAACCAAUUCAUUAUAAAAGUGAGUUCCAUCUCGAGGAUUCUAUUAGGAUCUCUGGCAGCCUUUCUUUAAGAUGUCGCGAGUUGUGCUACUUCUGUGUCUCCUGGUGCUGGUCUCCGCAGCCGUGUCGCUGGACGUGCCCGGCGGCAUCCCCAAGACACCCGACCUGGGCAAGCUGCCCGACGCCCCCAAAUUGCCUGACAGCAAUCUACCGAAGACCUUUUCCGAUUUGGACGACAUCGACAAGUAGCGACCACUGACCUAAGGCAUUUUGGAACUGGUUUUGUAUGAAAUAACCUUUACUCAUACAAAAUGAGUACUACAAAUGUCCUUUAUGCCGCCUGAAGCUUAAAUUUCCAUCUGGAAAAUAUAUACUUUUGGCUUAACGCGGCUCCUCUCUAUGAUGACCAUGAAGCGUUAGUAAAUAAGUUAUAUAUGUAUUUAUGAAGCAUAUUAAAAGCUGCAGCUGAC
Molecule: long non-coding RNA, 519 nt
Organism: Cydia pomonella (codling moth)
Lineage: Eukaryota; Metazoa; Arthropoda; Insecta; Lepidoptera; Tortricidae
Exons: 2
Source: RefSeq, a predicted model, not a curated record